This 469-nucleotide ribosomal RNA is filed under the name Abiotrophia defectiva. RNAcentral's name for it is "bacterial SSU rRNA". It matches the Rfam family "Bacterial small subunit ribosomal RNA", at positions 28 to 474 of the family's 1533-position model. Lineage: Bacteria; Bacillati; Bacillota; Bacilli; Lactobacillales; Aerococcaceae. The record is from RNAcentral.
GACGAACGCUGGCGGCGUGCCUAAUACAUGCAAGUCGAACGAACCGCGACUAAGUGCUUGCACUAAGUCAAGGUGAGUGGCGAACGGGUGAGUAACACGUGGGUAACCUACCUCAUAGUGGGGGAUAACAGUCGGAAACGACUGCUAAUACCGCAUAGGACAUGGGAUCACAUGAUUCUGUGAGGAAAGGUGGCGCAAGCUAUCGCUAAGAGAUGGACCCGCGGUGCAUUAGCUAGUUGGUAGGGUAACGGCCUACCAAGGCGAUGAUGCAUAGCCGACCUGAGAGGGUGAUCGGCCACAUUGGGACUGAGACACGGCCCAAACUCCUACGGGAGGCAGCAGUAGGGAAUCUUCCGCAAUGGACGCAAGUCUGACGGAGCAACGCCGCGUGAGUGAAGAAGGUCUUCGGAUCGUAAAGCUCUGUUGUUAGAGAAGAACAGCGCAUAGAGUAACUGUUAUGCGUGUGACG